RNAcentral lists this ribosomal RNA (253 nucleotides) under uncultured bacterium. Its description in RNAcentral is "partial 16S ribosomal RNA". It matches the Rfam family "Bacterial small subunit ribosomal RNA", at positions 524 to 776 of the family's 1533-position model. The record is from RNAcentral.
UACGAAGGGAGCUAGCGUUGUUCGGAAUCACUGGACGUAAAGCGCACGUAGGCGGAUGUGUCAGUCAGGGGUGAAAUCCCGGAGCUCAACUCCGGAACUGCCUUUGAUACAGCACGUCUUGAGUCCAAGAGAGGUGGGUGGAAUUCCUGGUGUAGCGGUGGAAUGCGCAGAUAUCGGGAGGAACACCUGUGGCGAAGGCGGCCCCCUGGUUGGAUACUGACGCUGAUACGCGAAAGCGUGGGGAGCAAACAGG